RNAcentral lists this transfer RNA (87 nucleotides) under Bacteroidetes bacterium RBG_13_43_22. RNAcentral's name for it is "tRNA-Leu". It matches the Rfam family "tRNA". From Rfam's summary of the family: Transfer RNA (tRNA) molecules are approximately 80 nucleotides in length. Their secondary structure includes four short double-helical elements and three loops (D, anti-codon, and T loops). Further hydrogen bonds mediate the characteristic L-shaped molecular structure. tRNAs have two regions of fundamental functional importance: the anti-codon, which is responsible for specific mRNA codon recognition, and the 3' end, to which the tRNAs corresponding amino acid is attached (by aminoacyl-tRNA synthetases). tRNAs cope with the degeneracy of the genetic code in two manners: having more than one tRNA (with a specific anti-codon) for a particular amino acid; and 'wobble' base-pairing, i.e. permitting non-standard base-pairing at the 3rd anti-codon position. The record is from RNAcentral. Lineage: Bacteria; Pseudomonadati; Bacteroidota.
GCCCGGAUGGCGGAACUGGUAGACGCGCUGGUCUCAAACACCAGUAGUAGCAAUACUGUGUGGGUUCAAGUCCCACUCCGGGUACAA